GGGUCAGUCGUAUAAAGGUCAUUACGGAGGCUGUUAACCUUCUUAUCGUGGUUCGAGUCCACGCUGUCCCGCCA
Molecule: transfer RNA, 74 nt
Filed under: Escherichia coli
Lineage: Bacteria; Pseudomonadati; Pseudomonadota; Gammaproteobacteria; Enterobacterales; Enterobacteriaceae
Description: tRNA-Asn
Rfam family: tRNA
About the family: Transfer RNA (tRNA) molecules are approximately 80 nucleotides in length. Their secondary structure includes four short double-helical elements and three loops (D, anti-codon, and T loops). Further hydrogen bonds mediate the characteristic L-shaped molecular structure. tRNAs have two regions of fundamental functional importance: the anti-codon, which is responsible for specific mRNA codon recognition, and the 3' end, to which the tRNAs corresponding amino acid is attached (by aminoacyl-tRNA synthetases). tRNAs cope with the degeneracy of the genetic code in two manners: having more than one tRNA (with a specific anti-codon) for a particular amino acid; and 'wobble' base-pairing, i.e. permitting non-standard base-pairing at the 3rd anti-codon position.
Source: RNAcentral